Non-coding RNA from Picea glauca (white spruce), 46 nucleotides. NCBI's taxonomy places the organism in Eukaryota, Viridiplantae, Streptophyta, Pinopsida, Pinales, Pinaceae. The record is from Rfam.
CAAAUGGCCUUCUUUAAGGCCAUUUGAUACAUUUUAAUAUUUUUAG